RNAcentral lists this ribosomal RNA (253 nucleotides) under uncultured bacterium. Its description in RNAcentral is "partial 16S ribosomal RNA". It matches the Rfam family "Bacterial small subunit ribosomal RNA", at positions 524 to 776 of the family's 1533-position model. The record is from RNAcentral.
UACGAAGGGGGCUAGCGUUGUUCGGAAUGACUGGGCGUAAAGCGCGCGUAGGCGGAUUGGCAAGUUGGGGGUGAAAUCCCGGGGCUCAACCUCGGAAUGGCCUUCAAGACUGCUGGUCUUGAGUUCGAGAGAGGUGAGUGGAAUUCCGAGUGUAGAGGUGAAAUUCGUAGAUAUUCGGAAGAACACCAGUGGCGAAGGCGGCUCACUGGACUGGUAUUGACGCUGAGGUGCGAAAGCGUGGGGAGCAAACAGG